AUUGAACGCUGGCGGCAGGCUUAACACAUGCAAGUCGAGCGGGGGAAGGUAGCUUGCUACCGGACCUAGCGGCGGACGGGUGAGUAAUGCUUAGGAAUCUGCCUAUUAGUGGGGGACAACAUCUCGAAAGGGAUGCUAAUACCGCAUACGUCCUACGGGAGAAAGCAGGGGGUCUUCGGACCUUGCGCUAAUAGAUGAGCCUAAGUCGGAUUAGCUAGUUGGUGGGGUAAAGGCCUACCAAGGCGACGAUCUGUAGCGGGUCUGAGAGGAUGAUCCGCCACACUGGGACUGAGACACGGCCCAGACUCCUACGGGAGGCAGCAGUGGGGAAUAUUGGACAAUGGGGGGAACCCUGAUCCAGCCAUGCCGCGUGUGUGAAGAAGGCCUUAUGGUUGUAAAGCACUUUAAACGAGGAGGAGGCUACUUUAGUUAAUACCUAGAGAUAGUGGACGUUACUCGCAGAAUAAGCACCGGCUAACUCUGUGCCAGCAGCCGCGGUAAUACAGAGGGUGCGAGCGUUAAUCGGAUUUACUGGGCGUAAAGCGUGCGUAGGCGGCUUAUUAAGUCGGAUGUGAAAUCCCCGAGCUUAACUUGGGAAUUGCAUUCGAUACUGGUGAGCUAGAGUAUGGGAGAGGAUGGUAGAAUUCCAGGUGUAGCGGUGAAAUGCGUAGAGAUCUGGAGGAAUACCGAUGGCGAAGCAGCCAUCUGGCCUAAUACUGACGCUGAGUACGAAAGCAUGGGGAGC
Molecule: ribosomal RNA, 745 nt
Filed under: Acinetobacter baumannii OIFC083
Lineage: Bacteria; Pseudomonadati; Pseudomonadota; Gammaproteobacteria; Moraxellales; Moraxellaceae
Description: bacterial SSU rRNA
Rfam family: Bacterial small subunit ribosomal RNA
Source: RNAcentral